UGCCUUUCAACUGCGCCGAUGGAACGCUGUCUUGGUUUGGUGUGCUUAGCAAAACCGCUCAGCUAUGCUGGUGGUGCAUAGCUGUUGUGGCAUCGUCUCGGCCUUGCAUGUCCUUUCAAAUGUACCCCAUGGCACACGCGGCGUCGUGGCAUUGUGCAUUCUUGGUGUGUGAUGUCUUUCGAUUGCAUCGACGAUGCAGUGUCAUGGCAUGGUCUUGGCUGGUCAAUGUCGUUCGAUUACACUCGUCGUGCUUUUUCUUUAUUCUAUGGUGUUUCCUUCUUUGUUUCUUCAUGCUACGUGUAUUAUUGGUGUGUGUGUUGUUUUUGCAUUAUAUCUACUUCUCCUGUGCCCCAUGUACUUCUGGUUCGCUUGAACCCAUCUUGCAACAGGCUGCAAAGGAGGCAAAUGAAUACAAUUCGGGUGGGGAAUAUCUUCCCCCAUGGUGAAAAUUCAAAAAAAA
This 460-nucleotide long non-coding RNA is filed under the name Hordeum vulgare. RNAcentral describes it as "long non-coding RNA (HVUL_LNC004890)". Lineage: Eukaryota; Viridiplantae; Streptophyta; Magnoliopsida; Poales; Poaceae. The record is from RNAcentral.